CGGUAAUGGGUUGGUUCGACUGGUCGGUCUGGGGGACCGAAGGUCGGAGGUUCAAAUCCUCUCAGCCCGA
RNAcentral lists this transfer RNA (70 nucleotides) under Acidimicrobiales bacterium. Its description in RNAcentral is "tRNA-Leu". The record is from RNAcentral. Lineage: Bacteria; Bacillati; Actinomycetota; Acidimicrobiia; Acidimicrobiales. RNAcentral also lists the same sequence under 1 other name.